This 223-nucleotide long non-coding RNA is filed under the name Citrus sinensis (sweet orange). RNAcentral describes it as "long non-coding RNA (CSIN_LNC001726)". The record is from RNAcentral. Lineage: Eukaryota; Viridiplantae; Streptophyta; Magnoliopsida; Sapindales; Rutaceae.
AAAGAUUGUGAUAUAUUUGAAAUCACCAAGUUUUUUGACACUCACAUAUGCUCAAGAAAUAUUCUUCAUUUAGAUCAUCGACAAGCUGCAACAAAACUUUUAGAAAAGACUAUCAUGAAGAAAUUUGAAAGAGUUGGUCAAUCAUACACACCAAAUGAUAUAAUAGAUGAUGUCCAAACAGAAUACGGGUUAAGAAUAAGCUACAACAAAGCAUGAAAGGCCA